This 114-nucleotide small RNA is filed under the name Drosophila guanche. It matches the Rfam family "Potassium channel RNA editing signal". From Rfam's summary of the family: This family represents a group of sequences related to the human potassium channel Kv1.1 hairpin element which directs the efficient modification of an adenosine to inosine by an adenosine deaminase acting on RNA (ADAR). The ADAR modification causes an isoleucine/valine recoding event which lies in the ion-conducting pore of the potassium channel. The record is from RNAcentral. Lineage: Eukaryota; Metazoa; Arthropoda; Insecta; Diptera; Drosophilidae.
AUGAAAUUCAUGAAAUACAGACCCGUCGGCGUUUGGGGCAAGAUUGUGGGAUCACUGUGUGCCAUUGCUGGUGUGCUGACAAUCGCACUGCCGGUGCCGGUUAUCGUCAGUAAU